GCAGACACAUUCCAGCCAAUCAGCAGCAGACCCUCCCUCCCAGACCCUCCCACCUCCUGGACAGCAUCCAUUUUACAUUCAUUGUGAAGCUGCAUUCUUAGCGAGCUGUCCAGGAGGUGGGAGGGUCUGGGAGGGAGGGUCUGCUGCUGAUUGGCUGGAAUGUGUCUG
This 168-nucleotide microRNA precursor is filed under the name Pelobates cultripes (western spadefoot toad). The record is from RNAcentral. Lineage: Eukaryota; Metazoa; Chordata; Amphibia; Anura; Pelobatidae.